Molecule: transfer RNA, 102 nt
Filed under: Aspergillus pseudonomiae
Lineage: Eukaryota; Fungi; Ascomycota; Eurotiomycetes; Eurotiales; Aspergillaceae
Description: tRNA-Val
Source: RNAcentral
AGUCGCGUGUUCUAAUGGUUAUGAUUUGUCGUUCACAUUUGUGAGCUUGUAGCUACUACUGUAGUACCGACAAGGUUCCCGGUUCGAUCCCGGGCGCGACUA